Plectropomus leopardus (leopard coralgrouper) is the source of this 1837-nucleotide non-coding RNA. Lineage: Eukaryota; Metazoa; Chordata; Actinopteri; Perciformes; Serranidae. The record is from RefSeq and is a predicted model, not a curated record.
AAAAUGGUGUUUUGAUGGUCAAAGUGACUUUAUAUCGCCUGUUACUGCACUUUGAAUGGCUUCUGUCACAGGCAUGAAAGGAUUUAAAUAUUUCGGCUUAACUCAACCUUUCCCAUUUCUCCUUCAGAAUUUAAAGCUGUCUGACAACGCUUCCCUUCAGUUGUCAGCACAAGACUGUAAAUUGUGAAAUACUGUCAUGCCCAUGUUCAAUAAUAGUGACUGCACAGCUCCAUAAAUUACAGUAUCUGCUUUUAAUUUGAAAUAUGUGGUAGAUACAGAAAUGCAUGUAUCAGUGCUGCAGCACGCUGCCUAUGUGAACACUGAUGUGAGCUGCAGCAGUUCAGUGAGGUAGCCGUCACACGCUGCUCACGCAUGCGGUGUGGUCCAAGCGUCUUAAUGAAAACUCAAACUGUCACUUACUACAGCCUGUUCAGACACGUAGGAUAAAUUAUUAAGUCUUAAUUAAAAGUGUGGCUCUUACAUCUUUAAAGCUGCACUCUUUGAAAUCCCUGUGUUAAUAUGAAAGUGAUAAACAGUCCCAGUCCCAGUAGAAACUCUGUCCCAGUUCUGUCUUAAUGGUUUGCAAAGCAAAGAGCUGCAUUCACAUCCGAUGUAUCGGUUCAACUUGUUUUAUCCUGUUACUGAAAAUCAGACAAUAUCGACUUAAUAUUAUAAGAUUGCAUCUGACCUUUUUGUCAAAAUUGAAAUAUUCAUAAAUUCUUACUCUGUGACAACUAAUUCACAUUUGAGGUGGGUUUUUUUUUGUUUUGUUUUUUUUAAAACUUUAUUAAAAGGGUUCAUAUCAUUUUUGCUAUAUGAAAUGCAAAAACUUUGCAGCUAGGUAUCUCAGAAUCCCUCAGAGUGCAGACAGAAGCUUGUAAUUCUAAGGCAGCGAAAUGAUUCCUGGCACACUUUUUACACAUUUCUGUUUUCUCUGAAUGUUGCAGGCAGAGCCUCCUGAAGCUGCUCAGCGUGAGGCUGACAGUCACGCUGCGGGCUGACUGAAGGAGCCAGUGCAGCAGCUGGCCUGCAGGGGGCGCAAACACCUGAGAAGAAGUGAGAGUGGCUCAGCGUGUUCGGUGUCAUCUACCAGUCUGGAUGAGUCAUCGGUACCCGUACGGUUCAGCCACGUCUGCUCAGCCUGGUUGAGGCUGUAAAUAAUAUAUUUUUUAAUACAUUUGCUGGAAAAAACAGAAGCACCGAGCAGUCAAAUUUUCAUGCUGGUUUUCCUCCAUUUUCCUGAGAUAAGAAUUUUCUUGAUAAGAAAACUUUUCCCCCAAGAUGACAAUAUAAUUUCAGUUAUCAAGAUAAUGACAUGAUUAAUUUGAGAUCUCUAAAUAAUAAAUGAAAAUGUUAGUCCGGAGGUUUCAGUCACGAUAUGUCAUGCCAUGCUGACCGAUAGAUGUCCUGGCCAAUAAUUCAAAUGAGCUUUUUUGUGCUUUUUCUGCUUUCUAGUCUAAAAUAUAUUUUAAAUGAAUGAAAGUCAGAACAGGAACUUUAACGUUACCUCUGGACCGCAUGAUCUGAAUCAGUCUGAUCCUCACUCAAUUUGUUAGACCUAGACACAAAUUGUCGCCUCCCCCAUGUGAUGCGCUGAUGUUCUGCUGCUCCUCUGAUGUUGCUGCCAAUUUUGCUGCCAAAAUUAUCCUAUUUUCUCAGUAGAAAAAAAUGUAAAAGUGAUUGGCCGUCCGUAGUAUAAUGUCCUGAAGGCAUCACCUACAUUUAGCAUUUAAAGCAAAUAAUUUUACUCAUCAGGAUAUAAAAUCUGUCUUUGAAUUAAAUGCAUGCUAAAUUGUGUUAAGAUGUUUAAAUAAAGGUUGAGCUUGCGUUAUCACAA